CCCCUCUCAGGGUCACACCUGGAGAGUUCCCAGUACUCUACCAGUCUCGACUAUAGGAGGGAGAGUCAGAGAGAGGUCUAUCCAUUCCAUUCCUAUCUUGAGCAGUGGCUAGAGAGUGGAAGGCAAUCUGCUACAAGU
Molecule: small nucleolar RNA, 138 nt
Filed under: Ornithorhynchus anatinus (platypus)
Lineage: Eukaryota; Metazoa; Chordata; Mammalia; Monotremata; Ornithorhynchidae
Source: RNAcentral